Molecule: ribosomal RNA, 443 nt
Filed under: uncultured bacterium
Lineage: Bacteria
Description: partial 16S ribosomal RNA
Rfam family: Bacterial small subunit ribosomal RNA
Source: RNAcentral
CCUACGGGUGGCAGCAGUGGGGAAUAUUGGUCAAUGGAGGAAACUCUGACCCAGCCACGCCGCGUGGAUGAUGAAGGUCUUCGGAUUGUACAGUUCUUUUCGAAGGGAAGAAGAAAGUGACGGUACAUGAGGAAUAAGACUCGGCUAACUACGUGCCAGCAGCCGCGGUAAUACGUAGGAGGCGAGCGUUAUCCGGAAUGACUGGGCGUAAAGGGUGCGUAGGUGGUUUGGCAAGUGAGUAGCGUAACUCCAAGGCUCAACCUUGGAACUACUACUAAAACUGUUGGACUUGAGUGCAGGAGGGGGAGCCGGAAUUCCUGGUGUAGCGGUGGAAUGCGUAGAUAUUAGGAGGAACCCCAGUGGCGAAGGCGGGUUGCUAGACUGUAACUGACGCUGAGGCACGAAAGCGUGGGGAGCAAACAGGAUUAGAUACCCGUGUAGUC